CAUGAGGAAUUGAUCAAAUUGCACUUUCAUAACAGAAACCAUAACUAGCAUAGUUCUCUCUUUCCAACUCUAAGUAUGGGAUUUUCCAUAAAGGUUUGCAUAGACAAUCUUGGUGCGAUAGACAAGAAUCAAACUCAACACGACUGCAAUGAUGCAAAUCCAGACAUUAUCAGGCAAGUAAGGAAGAAGCAUAUGGUACCAUUGCACUUCAAUGUCGUUUCCACUACAGGUGCUAUGCCAAGCAUCCUAAGAAGGAGAC
This is a long non-coding RNA of Telopea speciosissima, 259 nucleotides long. RefSeq lists it as uncharacterized. The transcript has 3 exons. NCBI's taxonomy places the organism in Eukaryota, Viridiplantae, Streptophyta, Magnoliopsida, Proteales, Proteaceae. The record is from RefSeq and is a predicted model, not a curated record.